UCUGCCCCUUCCUCUGAGGGUGCCGCUACUCGCUUCUCCCUCCCUCCCAGUGCUUUCAUGCAGCAAGCCUGGGAGAAAGGCGGAAGGAGGGAAGCGUGGCGCACUUGGGGGAGGAGGCGGCGGG
Non-coding RNA from Chelonoidis abingdonii (Abingdon island giant tortoise), 124 nucleotides. The record is from RefSeq and is a predicted model, not a curated record. Lineage: Eukaryota; Metazoa; Chordata; Testudines; Testudinidae.